AUCCCAUGGUGAGGACAACUUCUGGUGUAUCCUUUUAGACGCUCCCAAGCUUCACUUAGGGAUUCUUGACCACCCUGCAAAGGAAUUGAUAUCACUUCUGUACUU
This is a non-coding RNA of Arabis alpina (gray rockcress), 105 nucleotides long. The record is from Rfam. Lineage: Eukaryota; Viridiplantae; Streptophyta; Magnoliopsida; Brassicales; Brassicaceae.